GGAGACGGCCGGGGGGCCGCUCCUUGAGCCCGCGAGGGCGCAGGGGGAGGAACUUCCGAACUCCACAGAGCGCGGCGCCUGCUGAAAGGCAGGGACUCCCGGGCGUAAGCCCGGGGGGACGGAAAGUGCCACAGAGAACAUACCGCCCCUGCGUGUAUCGGGGUAAGGGUGAAAAGGCGAGGUAAGAGCUCACCGCCCCUGCCGCAAGGCAGGGGGCACGGCAAACCCCGCUGGGAGCAAGGCGACGAGGCGGCUUGCGCUGCUCGCGCGGUCCUGGGCCGCGAGGCUCAAGACAGGCCGCCCGGUGGCCGCAGGACCUGGACGCACUCAGGCCCCCUUCCCCGGCGACGGGGAGGGGAGAGAAAUGGUCCCCCAUCCGCCGCGAGGCGGAGGACAGGAUUCGGGGUACAGGCCGUUUCCUUCG
Molecule: RNase P RNA, 424 nt
Filed under: Elusimicrobiota bacterium
Lineage: Bacteria; Pseudomonadati; Elusimicrobiota
Description: Elusimicrobia bacterium (groundwater metagenome) RNase P RNA component class A
Rfam family: Bacterial RNase P class A
About the family: Ribonuclease P (RNase P) is a ubiquitous endoribonuclease, found in archaea, bacteria and eukarya as well as chloroplasts and mitochondria. Its best characterised activity is the generation of mature 5'-ends of tRNAs by cleaving the 5'-leader elements of precursor-tRNAs. Cellular RNase Ps are ribonucleoproteins.
Source: RNAcentral